Molecule: ribosomal RNA, 330 nt
Filed under: uncultured eukaryote
Lineage: Eukaryota
Description: partial 18S ribosomal RNA
Rfam family: Eukaryotic small subunit ribosomal RNA
Source: RNAcentral
CCCUUAGAUGUUCUGGGCCGCACGCACGCUACACUGAUGCAUUCAACGAGUCUAAAACCUGCUCUGAUAGGGGUGGGUAAUCUUUUGAAUGUGCAUCGUGAUUGGGAUAGAUGAUUGCAAUUCUUCAUCUUCAACGAGGAAUGCCUAGUAAACGCAAGUCAUCAGCUUGCAUUGAUUACGUCCCUGCCCUUUGUACACACCGCCCGUCGCUCCUACCGAUUGAAUGUUCCGAUGAAUACCAUGGACUGAGAGUAUGAAUGGGUUCGCCUAUUUCUGCUUCUCGGGAAGUGGAGUAAAUCUUAACAUUUAGAGGAAGGAGAAGUCGUAACA